RNAcentral lists this ribosomal RNA (407 nucleotides) under uncultured bacterium. Its description in RNAcentral is "partial 16S ribosomal RNA". It matches the Rfam family "Bacterial small subunit ribosomal RNA", at positions 28 to 526 of the family's 1533-position model. The record is from RNAcentral.
GACGAACGCUGGCGGCGUGCCUAAUACAUGCAAGUAGAACGCAGUUGCGAACGGGUGAGUAACGCGUAGGUAACUGCCUGGUAGCGGGGGAUAACUAUUGGAAACGAUAGCUAAUACCGCAUACUACCAGAUGGACCUGCGUUGUAUUAGCUAGUUGGUGAGGUAACGGCCCACCAAGGCAACGAUACAUAGCCGACUUGGGAGGGUGAUCGGGCACCCUGGGACCGAGUACCGGCCCAGACUCCCUAGGGAGGCGGCAGGAGGGAAGCGUCGGCAAUGGGGGGAACCCUGACCGAGCAACGCCGCGUGAGUGAAGAAGGUUUUCGGAUCGUAAAGCUCUGUUGUUAAGGAAGCGGUACUUAACCAGAAAGGGACGGCUAACUACGUGCCAGCAGCCGCGGUAAUUC